RNAcentral lists this ribosomal RNA (523 nucleotides) under uncultured bacterium. RNAcentral's name for it is "bacterial SSU rRNA". It matches the Rfam family "Bacterial small subunit ribosomal RNA", at positions 777 to 1308 of the family's 1533-position model. The record is from RNAcentral.
AAUAGAUACCCAGGUAGUCCACGCCGUAAACGAUGGAUACUAGCUGUUGGGCGCAAGUUCAGUGGCUAAGCGAAAGUGAUAAGUAUCCCACCUGGGGAGUACGAACGCAAGUUUGAAACUCAAAGGAAUUGACGGGGGCCCGCACAAGCGGUGGAGCAUGUGGUUUAAUUCGAUGAUACGCGAGGAACCUUACCAAGGCUUAAAUGCAGACUGACCGGUUUGGAAACAGACCUUUCGCAAGACGGUCUACAAGGUGCUGCAUGGUUGUCGUCAGCUCGUGCCGUGAGGUGUCAGGUUAAGUCCUAUAACGAGCGCAACCCCUGUUGUUAGUUGCCAGCGAGUCAUGUCGGGAACUCUAGCAAGACUGCCAGUGCAAACUGUGAGGAAGGUGGGGAUGACGUCAAAUCAUCACGGCCCUUACGCCUUGGGCUACACACGUGCUACAAUGGCCGGUACAGAGAGCAGCCACCCCGCGAGGGGGAGCGAAUCUAUAAAGCCGGUCACAGUUCGGAUCGGAGUCUGC